Molecule: ribosomal RNA, 450 nt
Filed under: uncultured bacterium
Lineage: Bacteria
Description: partial 16S ribosomal RNA
Rfam family: Bacterial small subunit ribosomal RNA
Source: RNAcentral
GUGGGGAAUAUUGGACAAUGGGCGAAAGCCUGAUCCAGCCAUGCCGCGUGUGUGAAGAAGGUCUUCGGAUUGUAAAGCACUUUAAGUUGGGAGGAAGGGCAGUAAGUUAAUACCUUGCUGUUUUGACGUUACCGACAGAAUAAGCACCGGCUAACUUCGUGCCAGCAGCCGCGGUAAUACGAAGGGUGCAAGCGUUAAUCGGAAUUACUGGUCGUAAAGCGCGCGUAGGUGGUUUUGUAAGUUGGAGGUGAAAUCCCCGGGCUCAACCUGGGAACUGCCUCCAAAACUGCAUGACUAGAGUACGGUAGAGGGUAGUGGAAUUUCCUGUGUAGCGGUGAAAUGCGUAGAUAUAGGAAGGAACACCAGUGGCGAAGGCGACUACCUGGACUGAUACUGACACUGAGGUGCGAAAGCGUGGGGAGCAAACAGGAUUAGAUACCCGGGUAGUCC